This 301-nucleotide ribosomal RNA is filed under the name uncultured bacterium. RNAcentral describes it as "partial 16S ribosomal RNA". It matches the Rfam family "Bacterial small subunit ribosomal RNA", at positions 509 to 807 of the family's 1533-position model. The record is from RNAcentral.
CAGCCGCCACGGUAAUACGUAGGGUGCGAGCGUUAAUCGGAAUUACUGGGCGUAAAGCGUGCGCAGGCGGUUGUGUAAGACAGGUGUGAAAUCCCCGGGCUUAACCUGGGAACUGCGCUUGUGACUGCACAGCUAGAGUACGGUAGAGGGGGAUGGAAUUCCGCGUGUAGUAGUGAAAUGCGUAGAUAUGCGGAGGAACACCAAUGGCGAAGGCAAUCCCCUGGACCUGUACUGACGCUCAUGCACGAAAGCGUGGGGAGCAAACAGGAUUAGAUACCCGGGUAGUCCCUGUCUCUUAUAC